ACAGGCAUGUGCCACCAAGCCUGGCUAAUUUUUUCAUUUUUAUUUUUUGUAGAGAUGGGGUCUUGCUGUGUUGCCCAGGAUGGUCUCGAACUCUUGGCCUCAAGCAAUCCUCAGUCUCCCAAAAUGUUGGGAUCAUAGGUGUGAGCCCCUGUGCCUGGCCAAAUUUUUUUUUUGAAAGGCUAACCAAUAAAAAAUGAACCAAAUUUACAAGAACAAAACAGCCCCAUCAAAAAGUGGCCAAAGGAUAUGAACAGACACUUCUCAAAAGAAGACAUUUUUGUGGUUAACAAACAUACCAAAAAAACCUCAUCAUCACUGGUCAUUAGAGAAAUGCAAAUCAAAACCGCAAUGAGAUAUCAUCUCAUGCCAGUUAGAAUGGCGAUCAUUAAAAAGUCAGGAGACAACAGAUGUUGGAGAGGAUGUGGAGAAAUAGGAACACUUUUACACUGUUGGUGGGAGUGUAAAUUAGUUCAACUACUGUGGAAGACAGUGUGGCAAUUCCUCAAGAAUCUAGAAAUAGAAAUACCAUUUGACCCAGCAAUCCCAUUACUGGGUAUAUACCCAAAGGAUUAUAAAUCAUUCUACUAUAAAGACACAUGCACAUGUAUGUUUAUUGUGGCACUAUUUACGAUAGCAAAGACUUGGAACCAACUGAAGUGCCCAUCAAUGAUGGACUGGAUAAAGAAAAUGUGGCACAUAUACACAGUGGAAUACUAUGCAGCCAUAAAGAAGGAUGAGUUCAUGUCCUUUGCAGGGACAUGGAUGAAUCUGGAAACCAUCAUUCCUGGCAAACUAACACAGGAACAGAAAACGAAAGACCACAUGUUUUCACUAAUAAGUAGGAGUUGAACAGUGAGAACGCAUGGACACAGGGAGGGGAACAUCACACACCGGGGCCUUUUGGGGGUUGGGGGUCCAGGGGAGGGAUAGCAUUAGAAGAAAUACCUAAUGUAGAUGAUGGGUUGAUGGGUGCAGCAAACCGCCAUGGCAUGUGUAUACCUACGUAACAAACCUGCACAUUCUGCACAUGUAUCUCAGAAAUUAAAAUUAAAAAAGGGGGAAAAAGUUUAAAAAAUUAACCAAUCAGGAAAGUACACAGAAGAACAGUAGGACAAUUUCUCUUCCUUUGAGCUUCCUGCCUGACCCUUGGGCUUCGUCACUUCUUUGGCUUACCAGCUCCCAUCCUUCAAAGUUUCUGAGUUGUUAUUCUGUGGAGAAUUUGAGCUACUCUCUUUCUUUAGACCCAGGCCAUCUAAGGUGGGUCCAGAGAGCCUCACUCACCUCCCCAACUAAGCAAGCAUACCUGGAGGUAAGCAAGCAUACCUGGAGGUGUGUUCUUCAUGCAAGGGCAGUUUCUGCUCUGAGAGAAUUUAAUUUGGUUAGCUCAAUUAAAGGGGUUAUAUUCUUUUCCCUUUCACAUGGGAGAAAGUAGCUGAAGUCUACUGACCAAUGAAAUUCUCUGUGAAGAGUCUGGGAGGGAGGGUUUAGAUAAUUCAUCUACAAGGGUGCUCAGAGAGUUUGGAGAGAAGCAAUUGGUGUCGUUAUGAUGGCAUUCUACAGCACAGUACUUGCAUUGCACCAGGCACUCUUUAAAAAACUCUGCAAGUGUUCAUUCAUUUAAUUCUAACCACAACCCUGCAAGGGACUUCCUGUUAUUGUCCACAUUUUACCAAAGAGGAAGCUGAAGCAGGGAGGUUAACUACCUUGACCAAGUGCCUUUCCUCCUUUGAGGAAAAGGAGCCAAAGGUUCAGCCAUGACCAAAUCAUAUCCCUCUUCUCAUCCAACCACCCAACCAUUCCACAGGUAGCCUGACCAGCCACUUUUAUACAAAGCACAGUAUUCAGAUUGGAAUAAAAAUAUAUCUCCUUCACUCCCUGCUCUGAGAGGUGUUUCCUCUCAGACUUCCAGGAGCUGGAUUGAGGAAAAUGGCUUAGUUGGUACAGUAUAACAAAAUGUCCUGCUUGUUGAAACUGAAUUUGUGAUUAUCUUCUUUUUCAUCAAGAAGUCAUUGAGGGGUGUUGUAUCCCUAUAAAAGGAGAAUUUAGGGUAGCCAAAUAAAAAGGGUGUAAUGUAGUCUCAUUACAGGAAAAGAAAGUGUGAGCAGCCUUUUAGUAGUUGAUUGCCUCAAGAUGUGGCAUUCAGCCAGGGUGAAGGGAAAGUGGUUGGGGCUGCGGAUCUGGAGGUUUACAGAAGCCUGUAUCCAUCUUGAGACUCAAUUACGCUGUUGGUCUUCAGCCAGAGAAGUGUCUGCAUCUACUGAGAGUAAAAAAUCAUCCCACUGCACUCCAGCCUGGGCAAUAGAGUGAGACUCAGUCUCAAAAAAAAAAAAAAAAAAAAAGUCCAGGUGAGAGGUUAUCAUGGCUCACACUAGGGUGAUGACAAAGGAAAUGCAAAGAGAUGGAUCAAUGCAAGAACUAAUCUAGAGGUAGAACAAUGGGACUUACUGACAUGGAUGGUGAAGGAGAGUUCAGAGGCAGCACCCAUCUUGAGAUUUGAUUGAACAAUUGGUAAAUGAUGGUGCCAUUCACUGAAAGAGAGGAAACUAAAGAAGGAACAGGUUUUCAUGACCUGUUAUGAUUCCAUUUAGUUUGAGUUGCCUAUUAUAAUUCCAAGUGGAUGUGGGGAGUAAAAAAUGGGUUGUAUGAAUCUGGAGUUCAUAGAAGAGGUCAGGGUUGAAUGUGUAAAUUUGGGAAAUGGUAUGAAAUUCCACAGAAAUUGGUAAUACAACAUGUAGAACUGAACGAUCAUGAAAAAUCUGUUUUUCAGCCAAGCUUGUAGAAUGCAACUCAA
Long non-coding RNA from Sapajus apella (tufted capuchin), 2791 nucleotides. RefSeq lists it as uncharacterized. Lineage: Eukaryota; Metazoa; Chordata; Mammalia; Primates; Cebidae. The record is from RefSeq and is a predicted model, not a curated record. The transcript is spliced from 2 exons.